RNAcentral lists this ribosomal RNA (253 nucleotides) under uncultured bacterium. Its description in RNAcentral is "partial 16S ribosomal RNA". It matches the Rfam family "Bacterial small subunit ribosomal RNA", at positions 524 to 776 of the family's 1533-position model. The record is from RNAcentral.
UACGGAGGUGGCAAGCGUUGCUCGGAAUCACUGGGCGUAAAGGGCGCGUAGGCGGGGAGGUAAGUCGGGUGUGAAAUCCCUCGGCCCAACCGAGGAACUGCGCCCGAGACUGCUUCUCUUGAGUCCCGGAGAGGAAGGUGGAAUUCCCGGUGUAGCGGUGAAAUGUGUAGAUAUCUGGAGGAACACCGGUGGCGAAGGCGGCAUCCUGGACCGAUAUUGACGCUGAUGCGCGAAAGCCAGGGGAGCAAACGGG